RNAcentral lists this ribosomal RNA (420 nucleotides) under uncultured bacterium. RNAcentral describes it as "bacterial SSU rRNA". It matches the Rfam family "Bacterial small subunit ribosomal RNA", at positions 355 to 774 of the family's 1533-position model. The record is from RNAcentral.
UAAGGAAUAUUGCUCAAUGGGAGAAAUCCUGAAGCAGCAACGCCGCGUGGAGGAUGAAGGGUCUAUGACUUGUAAACUCCUGUAAAGAAGGAAAAAAUUCCCAUUUGAUGGGAGAUGAUGGUACUUCUGGAGUAAGCCCCGGCUAACUACGUGCCAGCAGCCGCGGUAAUACGUAGGUGGCAAGCGUUGUCCGGAUUUACUGGGUGUAAAGGGAGCUCAGGCGGAUUUGUAAGUCAGAGGUGAAAUCUUACAGCUUAACUGUGAAACUGCCUUUGAUACUGCAAGCCUAGAGUAUGGAAGAGAGUGAUGGAAUAUCUGGUGUAGCAGUGAAAUGCGUAGAUAUCAGAUAGAACACCAAUGGCGAAGGCAGUCACUUGGUCCAUUACUGACGCUAAAGCACGAAAGCGUGGGUAGCAAACA